GAUUAACGCUGGCGGCGUGCAUAACACAUGCAAGUCGAACGAUGAAACUUAAAUGAUUUCUUCGGAAUGAACUUAAGUGGAUUAGUGGCGGACGGGUGAGUAACGCGUGAGUAACCUGCCUUACACAAGGGGAUAGCCGUUGGAAACGACGAAUAAUACCCUAUGAUGUUUCUAUCUCGCAUGAGAUAUUAACCAAAGUGUUAGCGGUGUAAGAUGGACUUGCGUCUGAUUAGCUAGUUGGUGAGAAAAAAGCCCACCAAGGCAACGAUCAGUAGCCGGCUUGAGAGAGUGUACGGCCACAUUGGGACUGAGACACGGCCCAGACUCCUACGGGAGGCAGCAGUGGGGAAUUUUGCACAAUGUGGGAAACCCUGAUGCAGCGACGCCGCGUGAUUUAGAAGGCCUUCGGGUUGUAAAAAUCUUUUGUAUAGGAAGAAAAUGACAGUACUAUACGAAUAAGGUCCGGCUAAUUACGUG
Molecule: ribosomal RNA, 477 nt
Filed under: uncultured bacterium
Lineage: Bacteria
Description: partial 16S ribosomal RNA
Rfam family: Bacterial small subunit ribosomal RNA
Source: RNAcentral